CCUACGGGACGCAGCAGUGAGGAAUAUUGGUCAAUGGACGCGAGUCUGAACCAGCCAAGUAGCGUGAAGGAUGACUGUCCUAUGGAUUGUAAACUUCUUUUAUAUGGGAGUAAAAUGUUCCACGUGUGGCGUUUUGUAUGUACCAUAUGAAUAAGCAUCGGCUAACUCCGUGCCAGCAGCCGCGGUAAUACGGAGGAUCCGAGCGUUAUCCGGAUUUAUUGGGUUUAAAGGGAGCGUAGGUGG
Molecule: ribosomal RNA, 243 nt
Filed under: uncultured bacterium
Lineage: Bacteria
Description: partial 16S ribosomal RNA
Rfam family: Bacterial small subunit ribosomal RNA
Source: RNAcentral